Molecule: ribosomal RNA, 253 nt
Filed under: uncultured bacterium
Lineage: Bacteria
Description: partial 16S ribosomal RNA
Rfam family: Bacterial small subunit ribosomal RNA
Source: RNAcentral
UACAGAGGGUGCAAGCGUUAAUCGGAAUUACUGGGCGUAAAGCGUGCGCAGGCGGCUUUGCAAGACAGAUGUGAAAUCCCCGGGCUCAACCUGGGAACUGCAUUUGUGACUGCAAGGCUAGAGUACGGCAGAGGGGGAUGGAAUUCCGCGUGUAGCAGUGAAAUGCGUAGAUAUGCGGAGGAACACCAAUAGCGAAGGCAAUCCCCUGGGCCUGUACUGACGCUCAUGCACGAAAGCGUGGGGAGCAAACAGG